Long non-coding RNA from Puntigrus tetrazona (Sumatra barb), 174 nucleotides. RefSeq lists it as uncharacterized. NCBI's taxonomy places the organism in Eukaryota, Metazoa, Chordata, Actinopteri, Cypriniformes, Cyprinidae. The record is from RefSeq and is a predicted model, not a curated record. The transcript is spliced from 3 exons.
CCAUGCCGUCAAUGAAAUCGCUCUGAGCCUUAACAACAAAAACCCCAGAACCAAAGCCCUGGUUUUGGAGCUGUUGGCCGCGGUGUGUUUGGUCAGAGGAGGACACGAGAUCAUCCUAGCCGCUUUCGACCAUUUCAAAGAGGUCUGCCCAGAAUCCUAAAAGGUUUGAGAAAU